UCUGUGAUCGAAUCACAGUGAAGUGUUGAUUCUCACUCUUUGCUUUAAAAAGAUCAUUGCUUGCUCUCAUUUCCCCACACAGAACUGGGAAAAAGGGCCUUUGUUCACUCUGCUCCGACUGCAUGGAACAUGUUGCAGAAAAACUGGAAGUUACCAGRGUUCCUACAGUUUAAGUGCCUCUAGCGUUUGGCCAUGGAACUGCRYCCACCAUCAUUGAUCUCAGGCAAAGGACAGAUGAGUGMCAGGACAGGGGCACUUCAGGGGGCCAGUCAGAUUUCAGCAGGGGCCAAUGCCCCAGUGGCCCCACCCCUGGAACCACCACUGGGAGGAGCUGGUAUCUCAAGUGGUCAUUGUGCGAGAGGCGGAGCUAAACUCUGGACUAAACAGCUGCGUGGACGCAGCGAGUCGGAACCUGAGGCAGAGCAGCUGUAAAGGCAGGUGUUGGCCAACAUGUCGGAUGCUGCCUCUUUGACUGGACAUGUCACGCUUUCCCUCAGUCAGCUGCUGGAGAACAUCUGGGCCUCGCUGGCUGAUGCUCUGCAGCGACUCGAGGACCGCUGUGACGUGUUGGACGGCUGCGGGAUGACAAGGAGGCA
Long non-coding RNA from Austrofundulus limnaeus, 596 nucleotides. RefSeq lists it as uncharacterized. The transcript is spliced from 3 exons. Lineage: Eukaryota; Metazoa; Chordata; Actinopteri; Cyprinodontiformes; Rivulidae. The record is from RefSeq and is a predicted model, not a curated record.